This 498-nucleotide ribosomal RNA is filed under the name uncultured Desulfobulbus sp. Its description in RNAcentral is "bacterial SSU rRNA". It matches the Rfam family "Bacterial small subunit ribosomal RNA", at positions 888 to 1382 of the family's 1533-position model. The record is from RNAcentral. Lineage: Bacteria; Pseudomonadati; Thermodesulfobacteriota; Desulfobulbia; Desulfobulbales; Desulfobulbaceae.
GCCCGCUCAGACUCAAGGAAGUUGACGGGGCCCGCACAAGCGGUGGAGUAUGUGGUUUAAUUCGAUGCAACGCGAAGAACCUUACCUGGUCUUGACAUCCCGGAGACCCUUAGGAAACUAGGGGGUGCUUCCAUCUGGAAGAAUCUGGAGACAGGUGCUGCAUGGCUGUCGUCAGCUCGUGUCGUGAGAUGUUGGGUUAAGUCCCGCAACGAGCGCAACCCUUGCCUUUAGUUGCCAGCAGUUCGGCUGGGCACUCUAAAGGGACUGCCGGUGUUAAACCGGAAGAAGGUGGGGAUGACGUCAAGUCCUCAUGGCCUUUAUGACCAGGGCUACACACGUACUACAAUGGCCGAUACAAAGGGCAGCGACACUGCGAGGUGAAGCCAAUCCCGUAAAAUCGGUCUCAGUCCGGAUUGGAGUCUGCAACUCGACUCCAUGAAGUUGGAAUCGCUAGUAAUCGUGGAUCAGCAUGCCACGGUGAAUACGUUCCCGGGCCUU